Molecule: small nucleolar RNA, 129 nt
Organism: Nannospalax galili (Upper Galilee mountains blind mole rat)
Lineage: Eukaryota; Metazoa; Chordata; Mammalia; Rodentia; Spalacidae
Source: Ensembl
CCCUCCCACAAAGACAUGCUUUAGGUUCCCUGUGCUUGGACAUGUAAGAAUUGGAGGCAAAGAAAUGUGGAUUUGGAGGGGGUUGGAGAGAUGGCUCAGAGGUUAAGAGUACUGACUGCUCUUGCAGAG